GCUCUGGUUGCGCAAUGGUUAAGCAUUUGGCUGCUAAUCAAAAGGCUGGUGGUUUGAACCCACCCAGCU
Molecule: transfer RNA, 69 nt
Filed under: Loxodonta africana (African savanna elephant)
Lineage: Eukaryota; Metazoa; Chordata; Mammalia; Proboscidea; Elephantidae
Rfam family: tRNA
About the family: Transfer RNA (tRNA) molecules are approximately 80 nucleotides in length.
Source: Rfam by way of RNAcentral